AUGUAUAAAGUAAUUUUUACAGGUUAAUUUCGACUUAAUUUUUGAUUAUAUUUUAAUCUAUACAUU
This 66-nucleotide transfer RNA is filed under the name Habropoda radoszkowskii. RNAcentral's name for it is "tRNA-Arg". Lineage: Eukaryota; Metazoa; Arthropoda; Insecta; Hymenoptera; Apidae. The record is from RNAcentral.